Long non-coding RNA from Hyaena hyaena (striped hyena), 219 nucleotides. RefSeq lists it as uncharacterized. NCBI's taxonomy places the organism in Eukaryota, Metazoa, Chordata, Mammalia, Carnivora, Hyaenidae. The record is from RefSeq and is a predicted model, not a curated record. The transcript is spliced from 3 exons.
GGAGCAAAGUCUGAGGGCAGGUGAUAAGAGCCGCGGGACCCGGGGGACUCGGAGCAGACGGCUCCUCCCGGAAGAGCCCGGAAAUCAGCUCCUUGGGAAACAGCACAUCUUACUAAGUUCAGCCUAUUACGGAAGUGCUUCUCUGGAGCACCAGCCCGGUGGCAAAGUCAUUGUCUUUAUUCUGUGCUCCCAGGUGUGCACCUACAAGGACGGAGAGAA